RNAcentral lists this ribosomal RNA (389 nucleotides) under uncultured bacterium. Its description in RNAcentral is "bacterial SSU rRNA". It matches the Rfam family "Bacterial small subunit ribosomal RNA", at positions 28 to 417 of the family's 1533-position model. The record is from RNAcentral.
GACGAACGCUGGCGGCGUGCUUAACACAUGCAAGUCGAGCGGUAAGGCCCUUUCGGGGGUACGACGAGCGGCGAACGGGUGAGUAACACGUGGGUGACCUGCCUUUAGCUCUGGGAUAAGCCUGGGAAACUGGGUCUAAUACCGGAUACGACUCCGCGGUGCAUGCUGUGGGGUGGAAAGCCUUGUGCGGCUGGAGAUGGGCCCGCGGCCUAUCAGCUUGUUGGUGGGGUGAUGGCCUACCAAGGCGACGACGGGUAGCCGGCCUGAGAGGGCGACCGGCCACACUGGGACUGAGACACGGCCCAGACUCCUACGGGAGGCAGCAGUGGGGAAUCUUGCGCAAUGGGCGAAAGCCUGACGCAGCGACGCCGCGUGAGGGAUGACGGCCU